UACGUAGGUGGCAAGCGUUGUCCGGAAUUAUUGGGCGUAAAGCGCGCGCAGGCGGGAUAUCAAGUCUGUCUUAAAAGUGCGAGGCUCAACCUCGUGAGGGGACAGAAACUGGUAUUCUUGAGUGUCGGAGAGGAAAGUGGAAUUCCAAGUGUAGCGGUGAAAUGCGUAGAGAUUUGGAAGAACACCAGUGGCGAAGGCGACUUUCUGGACGAUGUCUGACGCUGAGGCGCGAAAGCUAGGGGAGCGAACGGGAUUGAGAUACCCCGGUAGUCCUAGCCGUAAACGAUGGGUACUAGGUGUAGGGGGUAUCGACCCCUC
RNAcentral lists this ribosomal RNA (318 nucleotides) under uncultured Anaeromusa sp. RNAcentral describes it as "bacterial SSU rRNA". It matches the Rfam family "Bacterial small subunit ribosomal RNA", at positions 524 to 841 of the family's 1533-position model. Lineage: Bacteria; Bacillati; Bacillota; Negativicutes; Selenomonadales; Sporomusaceae. The record is from RNAcentral.